GGAUUAGAUACCCUGGUAGUCCUUGCCGUAAACGAUGUAUACUUGAUGUAGUUGGACUCAACCCCGAUUGUAUCGUAGCUAACGCGAUAAGUAUACCGCCUGAGGAGUACGCUCGCAAGGGUGAAACUCAAAAGAAUUGACGGGGGCCCGCACAAGCAGUGGAGCAUGGGGUUUAAUUCGAUGCAACGCGCAGAACCUUACCCAGGCUCGAAGUGUAGUGGACAACUCCUGAAAGGGAGCUUCUCGUAAGAGUCGCUAUAUAGGUGCUGCAUGGCUGUCGUCAGCUCGUGCUG
This 293-nucleotide ribosomal RNA is filed under the name uncultured bacterium. RNAcentral describes it as "partial 16S ribosomal RNA". It matches the Rfam family "Bacterial small subunit ribosomal RNA", at positions 775 to 1067 of the family's 1533-position model. The record is from RNAcentral.